AUCCGAGGCUGUGCACCGAAGGAGCCGUCUCCAUCGCGCGUGCAGGCGCGUCCGUGUCGAGCGCGCAGUUCUGCGUCGAUGUAAUUUGGAGGAUGUGAACAUUCCCAAUUCCAUAAACAGCGUCAUGGCAGCUGAUGUUCCUUUGAUUUCGGUUUCCUUUUGCCUGGUGAUUUAAUCGGUCUCGCUGGAGCUGGAGGACUGGAGCCGCGGGCGCUGCCGAUUCACGAUCCGGUCAAACAACAAGGCCACAUCGUUGUUGCAUCGGUAGGAGCGAUCGCUUGUCUGCCAUUAACCGCUGCUAUCUGAUUCCGCUCAUGAAGGAGCACGCAUGGGGCGAGGUCCUCGGUUGUCUCCUUCAGACCCCGCGUAUAGAUUGCUCGAUUGGAGAGCAGAAAGUGCUGAUAACGUGUUAGAGUAAAACAGUAAAACGAGAUUGAAUGAAAGUGAAUGGACGAUUAGUCCUGAUUUCUAUUCA
This is a long non-coding RNA of Hordeum vulgare subsp. vulgare (domesticated barley), 475 nucleotides long. RefSeq lists it as uncharacterized. The record is from RefSeq and is a predicted model, not a curated record. The transcript has 2 exons. Lineage: Eukaryota; Viridiplantae; Streptophyta; Magnoliopsida; Poales; Poaceae.